GACGAACGCUGGCGGCGUGCUUAACACAUGCAAGUCGAACGGAAAGGCCUCUUUCGGGGGGUACUCGAGUGGCGAACGGGUGAGUAACACGUGAGUAACCUGCCCUUGACUUUGGGAUAACUUCAGGAAACUGGGGCUAAUACCGGAUAGGAGCUCCUGCUGCAUGGUGGGGGUUGGAAAGUUUCGGCGGUUGGGGAUGGACUCGCGGCUUAUCAGCUUGUUGGUGGGGUAGUGGCUUACCAAGGCUUUGACGGGUAGCCGGCCUGAGAGGGUGACCGGCCACAUUGGGACUGAGAUACGGCCCAGACUCCUACGGGAGGCAGCAGUGGGGAAUAUUGCACAAUGGGUGGAAGCCUGAUGCAGCAACGCCGUGUGCGGGAUGACGGCCUUCGGGUUGUAAACCGCUUUCGCUCAUGACGAAGCUUUGUGUGACGGUAGUGGGGAAAGAAGCACCGGCAAACUACGU
RNAcentral lists this ribosomal RNA (466 nucleotides) under uncultured bacterium. RNAcentral's name for it is "partial 16S ribosomal RNA". It matches the Rfam family "Bacterial small subunit ribosomal RNA", at positions 28 to 506 of the family's 1533-position model. The record is from RNAcentral.